This 305-nucleotide ribosomal RNA is filed under the name uncultured bacterium. RNAcentral's name for it is "bacterial SSU rRNA". It matches the Rfam family "Bacterial small subunit ribosomal RNA", at positions 337 to 639 of the family's 1533-position model. The record is from RNAcentral.
UCCUACGGGAGGCAGCAGUGAGGAAUUUUCGUCCUUUGUUCCGAGCCUGACCCAGCCAAGUAGCGUGAAGGAUGACUGCCCUACGGGUUGUAAACUUCUUUUAUAAAGGAAUAAAGUGAGGCACGUGUGCCUUUUUGUAUGUACUUUAUGAAUAAGGAUCGGCUAACUCCGUGCCAGCAGCCGCGGUAAUACGGAGGAUCCGAGCGUUAUCCGGAUUUAUUGGGUUUAAAGGGAGCGUAGAUGGGUUGUUAAGUCAGUUGUGAAAGUUUGCGGCUCAACCGUAAAAUUGCAAUUGAUACUGGCAG